AAUCUAAGUGAAACUUUCACUUUGUUGACAUCUUCCACAAAGUGCAUAACCAUGUCUCUCGAACAAAUUCUUUUUUUUUUUUCUUCCACAAACAUCAUAAUUGAAGGGAAAAACAUUUUGCUUAAAACCAAGAGAAAGGUGCACAUAAAUGAUAAUAAUAAUUUCUUUUCUAUCUUAACUAUUAUUCACAAAAACUGAAGUUAAAAGUUGAGCAACUCACCAAUGGAUCAAAGG
Molecule: unclassified non-coding RNA, 234 nt
Filed under: Hevea brasiliensis (rubber tree)
Lineage: Eukaryota; Viridiplantae; Streptophyta; Magnoliopsida; Malpighiales; Euphorbiaceae
Source: RNAcentral